Molecule: ribosomal RNA, 1363 nt
Filed under: uncultured bacterium
Lineage: Bacteria
Description: partial 16S ribosomal RNA
Rfam family: Bacterial small subunit ribosomal RNA
Source: RNAcentral
AGAGUUUGAUCCUGGCUCAGGAUGAACGCUGGCGGCGUGCCUAACACAUGCAAGUCGAGCGAUUCUCUUCGGAGAAGAGCGGCGGACGGGUGAGUAACGCGUGGGUAACCUGCCCUGUACACACGGAUAACAUACCGAAAGGUAUGCUAAUACGGGAUAAUAUAUAAGAGUCGCAUGACUUUUAUAUCAAAGAUUUUUCGGUACAGGAUGGACCCGCGUCUGAUUAGCUUGUUGGCGGGGUAACGGCCCACCAAGGCGACGAUCAGUAGCCGACCUGAGAGGGUGAUCGGCCACAUUGGAACUGAGACACGGUCCAAACUCCUACGGGAGGCAGCAGUGGGGAAUAUUGCACAAUGGGCGCAAGCCUGAUACAGCAACGCCGCGUGAGCGAUGAAGGCCUUCGGGUCGUAAAGCUCUGUCCUCAAGGAAGAUAAUGACGGUACUUGAGGAGGAAGCCCCGGCUAACUACGUGCCAGCAGCCGCGGUAAUACGUAGGGGGCUAGCGUUAUCCGGAUUUACUGGGCGUAAAGGGUGCGUAGGCGGUCUUUCAAGUCAGGAGUUAAAGGCUACGGCUCAACCCCGCUCAGCCGUUGAAACUGAUUAUCUAGCGUGGCGUCGAGGUAUGCGGAAUGCGUUGUGUAGCGGUGAAAUGCAUAGAUAUGACGCAGAACUCCAAUUGCGAAGGCAGCAUACCGGGCGCCUACGGACGCUGAGGCACGAAAGCGUGGGUAUCGAACAGGAUUAGAUACCCUGGUAGUCCACGCAGUAAACGAUGAAUACUUGCUAUUCGGCGGGACUGACCGCUGGGUGGCGGAGCGAAAGCGUUAAGUAUUCCACCUGGGGAGUACGCCGGCAACGGUGAAACUCAAAUGAAUUGACGGGGGCCCGCACAAGCGGUGGAGCAUGUGGUUUAAUUCGAUGCAACGCGAAGAACCUUACCUGGUCUUGACAUCCACAGAACUUUCCAGAGAUGGAUUGGUGCCUUCGGGAACUGUGAGACAGGUGCUGCAUGGCUGUCGUCAGCUCGUGUUGUGAAAUGUUGGGUUAAGUCCCGCAACGAGCGCAACCCUUAUCCUUUGUUGCCAGCGGUCCGGCCGGGAACUCAAAGGAGACUGCCAGUGAUAAACCGGAGGAAGGUGGGGAUGACGUCAAAUCAUCAUGCCCCUUAUGACCUGGGCUACACACGUGCUACAAUGGACGGUACAGAGGGUCGCAACCCCGCGAGGGUGAGCUAAUCCCAUAAAACCGUUCUCAGUUCGGAUUGUAGGCUGCAACUCGCCUACAUGAAGCCGGAAUCGCUAGUAAUCGUGGAUCAGCAUGCCACGGUGAAUACGUUCCCGGGCCUUGCACACACCGCCCGUCA